Molecule: long non-coding RNA, 21321 nt
Filed under: Arachis ipaensis
Lineage: Eukaryota; Viridiplantae; Streptophyta; Magnoliopsida; Fabales; Fabaceae
Description: long non-coding RNA (AIPA_LNC002124)
Source: RNAcentral
GAUAGAAAAGAUCCCCUGAAGAUACAAGACAACAGGAGGAAAGCGAACAGCUUCCUCAAGUCUGUGGAUAGGACACUUGUUAGGUUCCACCACCACGGCUUUGCCAUCAAAGAAUUUAACCUUAGUAUGAUGUUCUUCCAUCCUCGGUUCAUGCCACAUCGCGUGGACCGGUGGAUGAAGAUAGUAAGUGAAAGUAGUAGUAUUCAGGUGCUAAAGCUUAAACUUCAACUUGCUGACUGUUUCUUUGGAUGUGAGUUUGACUCACACGGGGUUGAUAAUUAUUACUACUUGUCAGCAGAUGUACUGAAAGCCAAGUCAUUAACUGAAUUAGUGUUGUUAGGGAAGAUUAGAGCAGACAAAUUGAUUGUAAAUCACAGAAUUAGGUUCCCUAUGUUGCGGAUAUUGUCCUUAGUUAAUGUUUAUUUGGGACAUGAACAAGCGCUUGAAGAUCUCAUUUCUGGUUGUCCUAUGAUUGAGCAAUUAAUAUUGGAGCACUGUGUUGGAUUGGAAAAUGUAAAAGUACAUGAUUUGCCUAAGCUAAAGUCUGCUAAGUUUUCUGGAUUUCGUGAAAUUCAUGUUGAUGUGCCGAGUCUAGAGUAUCUUCAUCUUGGUAAUGACGAAUUAGAGUUCCCUUGUGAUAUCAGUAUAGACAAGUGCAGAAAUUUGAAGGUGUUUCUUUUAGGGGCUGUGAGUUCUGUUUUUGUCUCUAACCAAUGGUUGCUUGAACUUUUUGACAAGUUUCCUUUCCUUGAGAGGUUGGAAUUAAGUGGUUGUAUUACAUCUGAGAGCCUAAUGAUCUCCAGUUCUCGCCUCAAGGUUUUGUCCUUCGAUGCUUGUGUAGAGUUGAAGGAAGCUAGGAUCGAUGCGCCGAAUUUAGUGUCAUGUAGAUAUUCUGGACAAUCCAGCCACAUGCCAGCAGCUAUGUCUUUUGUGAACUGUUCAAAUCAGGUGGAUUUUGAUGUUGUCUUCACAAUAGGAUUUCGUAUUAUGGAUUUGAAAAGGCUUAGGGCAUUUCUCCAGAACAUAGCACCAAGAAAUGUUAUGGUAUCCUUGUAUCUUGGAAUCAUGAAAGGUUCAUCUGUAAGUGUACAUUACCAAAUUAUGUUUUAGUUGCUAAAAUAAAACUUUACAUGGAGAACUUUGAUGUCAUUUGUGUUGGAUUUGUAUUUUGGAUGAGCAGAUUGUGUUCAAUGAAGAUGUACUACAAAAUGUUCAAGUCCCUUUGCCAAGGAUCAAAGAAUUGAGGUUAUCGGUAGCUGAAGAAACUGAAGAGUUGUGUGUGCUUCUUAUCAAUGAUUUGUUUUGGAGCUUCCGUCCUGCUAUUAUUUCUUUGAACCUGAAACUCUGCAGCAGAAUAUUCCUUAAGGUUUGUCAUUGAUUCAUUGCCCCUUAACUCCUGAUUUGAUUGUCCAAUGCAUGAUCAAUUUUUUCAGUGGUUUGAUUCGUGAAAAAACAAAAAUCAUUUGAAAGAUAAUAAAAAGGUUAAAGUAACCUUCUAAAGAUUUACUAAGUUGACAAAAUUGAUAAAUGUUAAAUAGUUUUGUUUUUGUUACAUAAAAGACUAACAUGAUACUAUGUAAGAUUAUCAUCAAUUGUAUUUGCCAAUUUUUUAAAUCUAAAGGAUUUUUUUGUGAAUUUUCGUUGUUAGUUCUGAAUCUUUCAGUUUCGGUAGUUUGAAAAUGUUUGAUAACUCCAUUUUCUGAGUGCUAUUGUGUUAAUUUAUUAUAUAUCAAUAUAUAUUGAAAAAAAUGAGAAAGUUUAUGAACCAAUUCUAUAUGCAGUAAAGUAGCCAACUUUUUAAAAAAAAUCUGAUUUUUAAAUUUUAAAAAUUAGUUUUACGCUUAAAAAACAUGUACCCUCCCACCCCCUUCACCUCUCUAAUUCUAGUUGUCAAUUGGCCAAAUCAACAACAGCUAUUAUUGGAGAAGCUAAGGUGCAACAAUGAGGAAGAGAGAUGCUGCAGUUCAAGUCCAAUGAAAUGUUGGUGGCAUGAUUUGAAAGUUGUCAGAGUCAGAAGCUCUCCUGAGAAAUAUGAGAACCUCAGUGAUUGUGAAGCACUCUUGGAUUCUUUGCCAAUAAAUUUUUCUUCCCCGGCUCUGCGGCUUAACUUUCAGUUAGAGUGGGACUCAUUACAGUAAUUCAGUAAGACAGCUUAAAAUAUAAAAUUACAACUGCAAUUUGUUGUGUCAUUUUUGUUUCUUGCCUUCUUAUUGUUGAACUGUUGAUGAACUAGUUGAAAGUAAUUGAUAUGUUCUACUUUAACAUUCACAUCUAAUUUCAUGAAAUGGGAGAAAAUUUUGACUCUGAAUAAAACUUUACAUUUAAAUAUUUAUUAUAUAUUUUAGACUUUUUAAUAUUUUGAAUAAGUAUAAACUAAUUUUCACAAAAUAUUGUUACGUGCUUUCAAAAACUUUUAACUUUUUAAAACUACAAACACAUAUAGCCACCAAAAAAACUACAAACACAUAUACACAAUCGUUUUUAAUUUAUCAUGUAAAAGAUGAUGUAUUUUCAAGUAUAACUAUCUUCUAAAAAAUCUUUAUCAAAUCAUGCCUUAUUGGCUUAUUUUAAUUUACCAUAUGCUAUAAUUUAAAAAAAAAUUAUAUUUAAAAAUUAAUUUUAAUAAACUAAAAGUAAGAGUUUUACUGCACCUAACCACCAAUCCUUACAAUUAAUAUAAUAAAUAAGUAAAUAAAUAUAUUAAUUAACUCAAAUACUUGUCAACAGAAACUAUAAUAAUCCUAGUAUAUGUUAAUAAAAUCUAAUAAUAUUUUCAUCUAUUUACAUCAACCAUACAUUAGAAAAUUACCACAUGGAUAGUCAAUUCGAUCUCUCCUUGAGGUUUGUUAUUCCCUAAGACCUGUUAAAGCAAGAAACGUAUACUUAAACUUAAACGUGAUGAUAGAAUUAAAAGCUAUAUAAUUGUAAUCCAUCCAAUGCUACAACAUUGCCUGGUGGUUAUUUAUUUGCUUGGCUUGGAUUUAUAUUUUCACCUAAACUCAACUCUUUUGGCGGCAGUACUUCUCUGUCCGGCGGCCGCAUCAACGCCGGUCCCAGCGUCAACUAAUUCAUGCUGCAUUGAGGAUUCAUGAUUUGGUUUCCCAACAAUAAAUUAUGAAGAUACCAGGUCCAACUGCAAUCGAAGACCUGUUAUGAAUCAUUGCUUGUGGUUGUUGCAUCCCUAAUGAUCUUCUACUAUGACUAAAAGCAGAAAAAUUAGCAUAAUAAUUUUGCAUAUUAGACUGAGAUGGUGGCUACUAGUAUUAUCUGAUGAUGGCACCAUGUUUCAGCUCUUGAUAAUCAAAACUUUGUAUUCACAAAUUGUGCUUAUCUAGUAUAUGAUAUUGUUGCCUUUUUAGUUCUCCUUAAUUUUAAUUUGCAUUAUAUAUAUACUUUCCAAUUAUAGUAGGGUUUUGAUUUAAUUAGCUAAGUUCAUGCUAUGUUAUUAUAUAUUUUGGCUUUCAAUAUCCAAACAAUUUGAUUCUCACAAGCAUGUGGUUUCUUGAACUUUUCCAUACAUUUUAUGGCCUUGAGAAACUGAAAUUAACGAAAUUGCGUUCUAUCUAGAGAUAUGUAUCUUUCCAGUGGUGCAACUUAAAGCUUUAAAGGUUGCUUGGUGUUCUAAUUUGGAGAAUGCAUGGAUUAAUGCUCCGAAUUUGAUUACUUUUACUUAUCAAGAUUCUAAAUCUUUUUUGACAUUGGCAAAUAUGUCCUUCGCUAGUAUUAAUCUUACUUGUUUCGAAUUUAAUGUUGUAGUUGAUAAUUCAAAAAUAAUACUCUAUUUUAUAAUUAGCUUUUAGAGAAAUAUUAGGGGAGUAAUCUUUUAUUAAUAUAAAUUAAUAUUUUAUUUUUGUAUUAUUAGUAUUUAGAAUUUAAGAUUUAGAAUUUAAAAUUAAAUUUUAGAAUUUAAAAUUAAAAAAAUUUGAUUCAUAUUGACAAAAAAAUUAAUUCAAACUCAUUAUCAUAUACAUAUAUCGAUAAGAAAGUUAAAAGUACAUGUACUAUUUUUUCUUUUAUUUUUAAUUUUUUUUCCUAAAUCCAAACAAAGUGUAAGAGGUAGUCAAAUAUUGAUAAAAAAUAAUAAAUUUUAUUAGUAAUAUAACUUAGUUUAUUUUUUAUUGUUAAAUAUAAAAAUACUAUUUUAGGUUUUGAUUAAUUUUACUGGGGUGUACAUAAGUCGGGUGAAACUGGAUUUACUUUGAUCCAGACCCGACCCUAAAUAAUGAUCGGAUCUAUUUUUGAGAUCCUUAUCCGAUUCUAAACCCGAUAAAAUCACACACUCUUGGGCCACACUAAAACCAGAUCUCUACUAGAUGAAAUCCGAGUCUUAAUAAAUGUUAUGUCAAAAGUUUAUGAUGCACUCAUUUAUAAAGAAGAAAAAAUACUACAUUGAUAACCAUACUUGAACUUGAAUUUGAUCAUAAAUUCUAAUUUUAUGCUUUUUUUUUUAUCUAUUUCCUAAUUCAACAAAUGUGAUUAAAAACAAAACAAUAAGCUUAUAAUAAAUAUAACAUAAUUUUAGCAUUAAUUUAAAACAUAUAUACCUUCUUAGUCCCCUAAGAUGUACAUAGGGUAGAUGAAAUUAGAUUUGCCUUAAUUUGGAUCUAACUCUAAAUAAUGAUGGAAUCUAUUUUUGAAACUCUUACGUGAACCUAAACUUCGUAAAAUCACACUAAAUUAAUUCCAAAAUAUUCGAGUCAGGGAGGGCCGGAUCUUCGAACCGGGCGGGUCAUGUAUACCCCCUAAAUUCCACUAUCUCCUCCCAUUCCUUCCUUUUACUGUUUUAAAUGCAACACUAGUUUCAAACGGAAGAAAGUUGAUUAAACCUUAACCUGAAAUAUUUGAUGAGUCAUAUUUGACAUGACAAGGCACUGGCAGGGAAGAAAGAAAGAUAGUUGCCUGAAAAAUAAAUUCAAUAAUUCAUAGCAGAUGAAGAUCUUGAUGAGAUAGGUUUUUCACACUUUACCAAAAUCUCAAUGCACAUCAACGAUCUCAGCCUCAGCAAUUCUUCAACACACUGGUAUGCAAUUUACACUCAAACAGCUUUUUCAUACACUUGCAUCCCACUACAACCUUUCAUUUCAAUAUAUCAAUGACCUUUCUCUUCUAUUAUUAUGAAAGUUAUUAGCAUAGAAUUGUUGAAUGUAAUUGAAGAACAUUGUUUAAUCCUUAGUAAUUGUUUGUUAGGGGAGCUCAGAGUUUUUAUUAAGGAGAUGGACAAAAUUUCUGAUCUGCCAAAGAUAAUCCUUCAUGACAUUCUUUCAAGGUUGCCUUACGAAGAUGCUGCAAGGACCAGUGUUUUGUCCAAGGCUUGGCAUGAAACAUGGUCCUCAUUCCCCAUCUUGGUCUUCCACGGCUCUCGAUGCGUGCGCGUGCACGUGAAGGAUAGAAAAGAUCCCCUGAAGAUACAAGAAAACAGGAGGAAAGUGAACAGCUUCCUCAAAUCUGUGGACAGGACACUUGUUAGGUUCCACCACCACGGCUUUGCCAUCAAAGAAUUUAACCUGAGUAUGAUGUUCUUCCAUCCUCUGUUCAUGCCACAUCUCGUUGACCGGUGGAUGAAGAUAGUAGGUGAAAGUAGUAGUAUUCAGGUGCUAAAGCUUGAACUUCAACUUGCUGGCUGUUUCUUCGGAUGUGAUUUUGACUCUCAUGCGGUUGAUAAUUAUUACUGCUUGCCACCAGAUGUACUGAAAGCCAAGUCAUUAACUGAAUUAGUGUUGUUCGGGAAGAUUAGAGCAGACAAAUUGAUUGUAAAUCACAGAAUUAGGUUCCCUAUGUUGCGGAUAUUGUCCUUAGUUGAUGUUUAUUUGGGACAUGAACAAGCUCUUGAAGAUCUCAUUUCUGGUUGUCCUAUGAUUGAGGAAUUAAUAUUGGAGCACUGUGUUGGAUUGGAAAAUGUAAAAGUACAUGAUUUGCCAAAGCUAAAGUCUGCUAAGUUUUCUGGAUUUCGUGAAAUUCAUGUUGAUGUGCCGAGUCUAGAGAAUCUUCAACUCGGUAAUGACAAAUUAGAGUUCCCUUGUGAUAUCAGUAUAGACAAGUGCAGAAAUUUGAAGGUGCUUAUUUUAGAGGCUGUGAGUUCUGUUUUUGUCUCUAACCAAUGGUUGCGUGAACUUUUUGACAAGUUUCCUUUCCUUGAGAGGUUGGAAUUGAGUGGUUGUGUUACAUCUGAGAGCCUAAUGAUCUCCAGUUCUAGGCUCAAGGUUUUGUCCUUCCAGGCUUGCUUAGAGUUGAAGGAAGCUAAGAUCGAUGCGCCGAAUUUAGAGUCAUGUAGAUAUUCUGGAAAAUCCAGCCACAUGCCAGCAGCUAUAUCUUUUGUGAAUUGUUCAAAUCAGGUGGAUUUUGAUUUUGGCUUCCCACUAGAAUCUCGUAUGGAUUUGAAAAGGCUUAGGGCAUUUUUCCAGAACAUAGCACCAAGAAAUGUUAUGGUAUCCUUGUAUCUUGGAAUCAUGAAAGGUUCAUCUGUAAGUGUACAUUACCAAAUUCUGUUUUAGUUGCUAAAAUAAAACUUUACAUGGGAACUUUUGAUGUCAUUUGUGUUGGAAUUGUAUUUUUGAUGAGCAGAUUUUGUUCAAUGAAGAUGUACUACAAAAUGUUGAAGUCCCUUUGCCAAGGAUCAAACAAUUGAGGUUAUCGGUAACUGAAGAAACUGAAGAGUUGUGUGUGCUUCUUAUCAAUGAUUUGUUUUGGAGCUUCCGUCCUGCUAUUAUUUCUUUGAACCUGAAACUCUGCAGCAGAAUAUUCCUUAAGGUUUGUCAUUGAUUCAUUGCCCCUUAACUCCUGAUUUGAUUGUCCAAUGCAUGAUCAAUUUUUUCAGUGGUUUGAUUCGUGAAAAAACAAGAAUCAUGUGAAAGAUAAUAAAAGGGUUAAAGUAGCCUUCUAAAGAUUUACUAAGUUGACAAAAUUGAUAAAUUGUUAAAUAGUUUUGAUUUUAUUACAUAUAAAAGACUGACAUGAUACUAUGUAAGAUUAUCAUCAAUUGUAUUUGCCAAUUUUUUAAAUCUAAAGGUUUUUUUGUGAAUUUUAUUUGUUAGUUCUGAAUCUUUCAGUUUCUGUAGUUUGAAAAUGUUUGAUAACUCUAUUUUCUGAGUGCUAUUGUGUUAAUUUAUUAUCUAUCAAUACAUAUUAAAAAAAUGAGAAAGUUUAUGAACCAAUUCUUUAUGCAGUAAAGUAGCAAACUUUUUAAAAGAUUCUGAUUUUAAAUAUUAAAAACUAGUUUUAUGUUUAAAAAACACGUACUCUUUUACUUUCUUCACCUCUCUUCUCCUCUUUUUCGGCAUCUUUCUUCUUCUCCUUCUUUUUUCCUUCUGCACUGCCUCUCCCUCCAUAUUGGUUCUUCUUCUUCUUCUUCUUCUCGGGAUCACUUUUUUCAAAGUUUUUGUACAAUAAUUUUAAAUAUUUCUUUUUGUUAUGUUAAAAUUUUUUUUGUUAGGUUAAAAAUAUUCUUUUAUAAUGAUUUUGAAUGUUUCUUUUUGUUUAGUUUUAGAUGUGUCAUUUGUUAUAUUUUAAUGCUUCUUUUUUAAAAAUCAAGAAUCAUAAAAAAAAUCAAAACAAUUUUUUUAAUCAAGACGAGCACGACGGAGGGAAUGACCGAUGACAACGUCGGAGAGAAGUGCACGGAAGAGGGGGCAAUGGCACGGCGGAGGGAAGCAAACGUACGGCGGAGAGAAGCAAAGGUGUGGUGGAGGAAAGCGCAUGCACAUGCACGGAGGAGGAAAGCGCUGCUAAAGAAAGCGGUUUUUUUAGAAGAAAGAUGCGGAGUGGGAAGUGAAGAGAUUAGCAUUUCAGAUAACUUUUUUGUUUUUACUGUGAUAAUAAAACUGACUUUUUAGAAUGAAUUACAUGUUGUUUUUGAUCUUUUCUGAACCUCUUUAUAAUCCAACUAAUAAUUGAUUAUAAUUGGCUCUUUAUCUAGAAAGAUUAUAAAAAGAUUUAUUUACAUCUCCUUAAAGCAUAUAGGGAAAAUUAUCACUAUGAAUAUUUUUUAAAAAUAGAAAGUAUAAUUUACGAUAGGAAAAGUAUAGAUAGACAAUAAAAAUAUUAAACAAUGUGAACAAUAGAUAUAUUGGAUGUUCAUUUCACUAGGUGCAUAGAUGGUUAUUUUAAUAUUAAAAUUUAGAUGAUUAAUUUGAAAGUGUAAUGUGUUUUUAUUUGAUUGGUGGUUGUUCAUGUUGUUCAAAAUGAUAUUAUUUACCUAAUAUUCUCCGAUAGGAAAAUAUAUAGUUAAAAGUUAAAGAUCUAAUUCUAGUUUGUCAAUUGGCCAAAUCAACAACAGCUAUUAUUGGAGAAGCUAAGGUGCAACAACGAUGGAGAGGAGUGCAGUUCAAGUCAAAUAAAAUGUUGGUGGCAUGAUUUGAAAGAUGUCAAAGUCACAAGCUCUCCUAAGAAAUAUGAGAACCUCAAUGAUUGUGAAGCACUCUUGGAUUCAUUGCCAAUAAAUUUUUUUUCCCCGGAUCUGCCGCUUAACUUUGAGUUAGAGUGGAACUCAUUACGAUAAGACAAUAUAAAAUUACAACUGCAAUUUGUUAUGUGGUUUUUAUUAUUAUUUUUUUCUUGUUUUCUUUGUGUUGAACUGUUGAAAGUUGAAAGUAAUUGAUAUGUUCUUCUUUAACAUUUACAUCUAAAUUUCAUAAUGCAUGAUGUUUUAACUUUCAACUAUACUAUAAUAGAAAAUUUCUUUCAACAUAAAAAAUAAAUUAUUAUUAAAAAUAGAGUCCCGCUAGGAAGACAAUGGACUAUUUGUCAUCCCAAAAGCUUCAACUGAUGGGAAAAAAUAACACUAAUGGUUAUAUCUCUAAUACUUCUUAAACCUCCAUUGUACACAUUGUCAAAAUAUUCCAUUAGCUCUUCAUACUUUCCCUUAAAAAUAAGUUAUUUCACACAAUUUUAACAUUUUAUAUCAGACUAAUCAAGCUUUCUUGUCAAAGAUUUUUCAUCAAAAUAAUUAAAUUUAUAAAAGAUUUUAUAUUAAAAUAAUCAAAUAUCUUGUUACAGAAUAAUCAAAUACUUCUUACAACAGUACAUUCAAACUAUUUUUUUGUAAAUAAUACAUAAAUAUUAUUUUUUUUGUGACUANNNNNNNNNNNNNNNNNNNNNNNNNNNNNNNNNNNNNNNNNNNNNNNNNNNNNNNNNNNNNNNNNNNNNNNNNNNNNNNNNNNNNNNNNNNNNNNNNNNNNNNNNNNNNNNNNNNNNNNNNNNNNNNNNNNNNNNNNNAUUUUGGACAGAUUACUUAAAUAAAAUAAAUAGUAAUUAAAAUUAUUUAUAUACAAUUUUUACAAAAAAAAUAUCCAUAUACACUUUUUUAAUAAUUCUGUGUAAAUCGCUAUAGGAUAUAGUAGUUUACGAAAAUAACAAAAAUCGCUAUAAGCUAACGUAUUUUUCAUGGUGAAUGAUCAAAAAUCGCUCUCAAGUGUAGGAUAUCUGAAGGAGGUGAAGCAAGUAUGAACCGCUGGAAAGACCAGCGGUUUAUGAUAAUAUGUUUUCCGGUGCUACACCAUGUAACAGAUUAUACACGUUUAUAAAAGGUAUAUGAGUAACAAAGUGUCUUCUCUUUUAUGUUGUUUUGGGUAUAUAAAAUUUGUUUUUGUUUUUCGAGUACGCCAAGAACUAAUGCAUCACUAUGACUAAUUUAUCACCAUGCACAAGACAAAAUUUAAAUCUUCAAUACGAACUAAUGAACUAACAACUAGAUCAACCUAAAUUAAUUUGUGACAUAAUUUAAAAUUAAGUUGUUUUAUUAAAUUUUUUAUAAUAGCCCUGCCACUUUAAAUAAAAAUAAAAUAAGAUAAAAAAGUUCCAAUUUAAUUUACAAAAUAAAUUAUUUUAUCUCUGUAUUAUUUAUUUAGUUUGUACCUUUUUCUUUAAUUUUUUAAAACUUAAUUGUUAGGAUUAAUUUUUUUAAUUCACAGAGAAGAUAAGAAUUUUAUUAAUAGUAUUGUGAUAUUAUAGUAAAGUAAGUUCUAGAUCCCAACAAAAUAUAUAUGACACACAUCUUAUAUUUAUUUUCUAUUUUUACCUACUAUGUCAAACACAAUAAAACACAUUACACCAUAAAUUUAUUGUUAGUGUUUGGUGUUUUAUUGUGUAUGAUAUGGUAGAUGAAAAUAGAAAACAAAUGUGAAAUGUGUGUCAUGUAUAUUUUGUUGGGGUCUAGAACUUGUACUAUAAAGAAAAGCAAGCUAUAUACAAACAAAACUACAUGCGACAAAAAAAAUAGAAUUAAAACUGAGAUUUCAUUCCACACACAAUGUUAAAUACAAAUUUAAUAAUAAAAAUAAAGUGGUAAAAUAUAAAAAAAUUUCCUANNNNNNNNNNNNNNNNNNNNNNNNNNNNNNNNNNNNNNNNNNNNNNNNNNNNNNNNNNNNNNNNNNNNNNNNNNNNNNNNNNNNNNNNNNNUUUAAAAAAAUUAAAGAAAAAAGUAUAAACUAAAUAAAUAAUAUAAAGAUAAAAUAAUUUAUUUUGUAGAUUAAAUUAGAACUUUUUUAUUUUAUUUUAUUUUUAUUUAAUUUAUUAGGUCUAUUAUAAAAAAUUUAAUAAAACAACUUAAUUUUAAUUCAUGUCAUUAAUUAAGUUAGAUUAGUCUAAUUAUCAACUCAUUAGUCCGUAUUGGAGAUUUAAAUUUCGUCUUGUGAUUUAUACUUGUUUUACCUCCUUCGUCUGAUCAUUCACAUGCCGCAUGAAAAUCCAACAGUUUACGUUGAAUUAUAAAUAAGUGUAUAUAGGUAACUUACUCUAAAAAUAAUGUAUUUACAAGUAUAAAUAUAUUCUCAAAAAUUUUUAUCAAAUCAUGUCUUAUUUUAAUUUGUCAUAUGCUAUAUUUUUUAAAAAAUUAUAUUUAAAAAUUAAUUUUAAUAAACUAAAAUAAGAAUUUUACCUCAGCUAACCACCAAUUUUUACAAUUAAUAUAAUAAAUAAAUAAAUAAAUAUAUUAAUUAACUCAAAAACUUGUCAAUAGAAACUAUAAUAAUCCUAGUAUAUGUUAAUAAAAUCUAAUAAUAUUUUCAUCUAUUUAUAUCAACUAUACAUCAAAAAAUUACCACAUGCAUAGUCAAAUCAAUCUCCCCUUGAGGUUUGUUAUUCCCUAAACCUGUUAAAGCAAGAAACGUAUACUUGAUGAUAGAAUUAAAGGCUAUAUAAUUGUAAUUCAUACAAUGCUACAACAUUACCUGGGGUUAUUUAUUUGCUUGGCUUGGAUUUAUAUUUUCACCUAAACUCCACUCUUUUGGCAGCAGUACUUCUCUGUCCACGGCGGCAUCAACGCCGGUCCCAGCGUCAAGUAAUGCAUGCUGCAUUGAGGAUUCAUGAUUUGGUUUCCCAACAAUACAUUAUGAAGAUACCCAGGUCUAACUGCAAUGGAAGACCUAUUAUGAAUCAUUGCUUGUGGUUGUUGCAUCCCUAAUGUUCUUCUACUAUGACUAAAAGCAGAAAAAUUAGCAUAAUAAUUUUGCAUAUUAGACUGAGAUGGUGAUGAGUAGUUCCUAAAUGCCCUCCUAAGUCCUAAAGCUUAGCUAUUGGAGAAUUUCUUGUUACACGAAUAUUUUUUUAGUAUAUGUUAAUUACUACAACAACCAAGGCUCAUCCAUAAAAUUCUUUGUCCUACUUUUGAACUUAUUUUUGUCUCCUCUCAUUGAUCAUAGGAUAGACUGGCCUUGAUGAGGAGCUAUACUUGGAAUUUGAAUCCAAUAGAGCAAACCAGCGUGCCAUUGGUGAAUUGUAUUGCUUUUAAUUAUUAAUAAACAAAAUAAUAAUUUAUAAAAUAGAGAAUAAAUUUAAUAAUUAAAUAAUAUAUAAAAGAUUAAGUUAUAGUUAAAAUUAAAUAAAAAAUAUUUAUUAAUUAUUAAAAAACUUAAAAAAUAUAUAUUUUGUCUUAGACCAUCCAAUCCUAUGUUCACUUUUUGUAUGUUUCUACUUCCUACUCUUAACAAUAGAACCGCUAAUAGGUACAUAUGUAGGUUUUCAGUUUGAUUCUCACAAGCAUGUGGCUUCUUGAGAAACAGAAAUGAACGAAAUUGGAUUCUAUCUAGACAUAUGCAUUUUUUCAGUGUGCAACUUAAAGUUUUAAAGAUUGCUUGGUGUUUUAAUUUGGAGAAUGUAUGGAUUAAUGCUCCCAGUUUGAUUAUUUUUACUUAUCAAGAUUCUAAAUCUUCUGUGGCAUUGGCAAAUGUGUCCUUUGCUAGUAUUAUUCUUACUUGUUUCGAAUUUGAUGUUGUGGUUAACAAUUCAAAAAUAAUACUCUAUUUUAUAAUUAGCUUUUAGAGAAAUAUUAGGGAGUAAUCUUUUAUUAAUAUAAACUAAUAUUUUAUUUUUGUACUAUUAGUAUUUAGGAUUUAAGACGNNNNNNNNNNNNNNNNNNNNNNNNNNNNNNNNNNNNNNNNNNNNNNNNNNNNNNNNUAACUUAGUUUAAUUUUUAUUGUUAAAUAUAAAAAUACUAUUUUAAGUUUUGAUUAAUUUCACUAUCUUUUACUGUUUUACAUGCUACACAAGUUUCAAACGGGAGAAAGUUGAUUAAACCUUAACCUGAAAUAUUUCAUGAGUCAUAUUUGACAUGACAAGGCACUGGCAGAGAAGAAAGAAAGAUAGUUGCUUGAAAAAUAAAUUCAAUAACUCAUAGCAGAUGAAGAUCUUGAUGAGAUAGGUUUUUCACACUUUACCAAAAUCUCAUCAGUCUCAGCAAUUCUUCAACACACUGGUAUGCAUUUUACACUCAACUUUUUCAUAUACUUGCAUCUCACUAGAACUUUUCAUUUCAAUAUAUCAAUGACUUUGAAUGUAAUUGAAGAACAUUACUUAAUCCUUAGUAAUUGUUUCUGUUAGGGGAGCUCAGAGGUCUUAUUAAGGAAAUGGACAAAAUUUCUGAUCUGCCAAAGAUAAUCCUCCAUGACAUUCUUUCAAGAUUGCCUUACAAAGAUGCUGCAAGGACCAGUGUUUUGUCCAAGGCUUGGCAUGAAACAUGGUCCUCAUUCCCCAUCUUGGUCUUCCACGGCUUUGACCAAGGCGUGUUCUUGCGCUUUGAGGAUACAAAUGAUCCCCUGAAGAUACAAGAUCACAGAAGGAAAGUCAGCAACUUCCUCAACUCUGUGGACAGAACACUUGUUAGGUUCCACCACCACGGCUUCGCCAUCAAAGAAUUCAGCCUUAGUAUGACGUUCUUCCAUCCUCAGUUCAUGCCACAUCGCGUCGAUCGGUGGAUGAAGAUAGUAGGUGAAAGUAGUAGUAUUCAAGUGCUAAAGCUUAAACUUAAAGUUGUUGACUAUUGCCGUGGAUUUGAGUUUGACUCUGACACGGUUGAUAAUUAUUACUGCUUGCCACCAGAUGUAGUGAAGGCAAAGUCAUUAACUGAAUUAGAGUUGUCAGGGAAGAUUAGAGUGGAUAAAUUGUUUGUAAAUCACAGAAUUAGGUUCCCUAUGUUGCGGAUAUUGUCCUUAAUUGAUGUUUAUUUGGGACAUGAUCAAGCCAUGGAAGAUCUCAUUUCUGGUUGUCCUAUGAUUGAAGACUUGAAAUUGGAGCACUGUGUUGGAUUGGAAAAUGUAAAAGUACAUGAUUUGCCUAAGCUAAAGUCUGCUAAGUUUUAUGGAUUUCGUGAAAUUCAUGUUGAUGUGCCAAGUCUAGAGUAUCUUCAUCUUGGUAAUGACGAAUUAGAGUUCCCUUGUGAUAUCAAUAUAGACAAGUGCAGAAAUUUGAAGGUGCUUCUUUUAGAGGCUGUGAGUUCUGUUUUUGUCUCUAACCAAUGGUUGCUUGAACUUUUUGACAAGUUUCCUUCACUUGAGAGGUUGGAAUUAUGUGGUUGUAUUACAUCUGAGAGCCUAAUGAUCUCCAGUUCUAGGCUCAAGGUUUUGUCCUUCUGGGCUUGCUUAGAGUUGAAGGAAGCUAAGAUCGAUGCACCGAAUUUAGAGUCAUGUAGAUACUUUGGAACUCACAGCCACAUGCCAGCAGCCAUAUCUUUUGUGAACUGUUCAAAUAAGGUGGAAUUUGAUGCUGUCUUCGCAAUCGAAUUUCGUCUGGAUUUGGAAUGGCUUAGGGCAUUUUUCCAGCACAUAGAACCAAGAAAUGUUACCUUGUCUCUUAGAAUCAUGAAAGAUUCAUCUGUAAGUGUACAUUACCAAAUUCUGUUUUAGUUGCUAAAGUAAAACUUUACAUGGAGAACAAGUAGUUGCUGUUGUAAGUUUAAGCUGUUUUUGUCUAUGUUAUAUGUAACAUCGUAUUAGUUGUCCAUUUAUGCAUGAUACCACAUUUUUCCUUAGAUAGUUAAAUGUCACUUUUUUGCACUCGAAUUUCUUAUUAAAAUGAUACCCGCUUGGAUUGAUUACCAUUGAAUGAAUGUUUUGGUGUUAUUAAUAACCGAGGGUCCAAUGUGAUGUCACAUUUACCCAUCUUAAGACCAAAUGGUUGUUUUUAUAUCUAUAUUCUGUUAUUAAACUCGAGUUAACUCUGAUAAUUAGGUUCUGUAAUCGAGUUUACAAUUCUAAUGUAAAUGCUUACAAGCUUCUGAUUCCUCAUGUAAACUGUUAUGAGUUUAGUUUUAUGAUUCAUGUGUUUGAUUACCGGACUAUUGAGGCCGAAUACUAUUGGGCGAGCCUUAUUGUCUAUGGAACAUUGAAUUUUAUUCUUUUAUUUGUUCAAAUUUAACUUGUGCUUAUUUGAGUCAUACACUAGUUUCAUUCUUUAAUAUCUGAUUUUUCUUUUCUUUCUUUCCAGGGACAUACUGCUGGCCUUUUCAAUUUGGGAAAUACCUGUUAUAUGAACUCAACAUUACAAUGUCUCCAUUCUGUGCCAGAGUUGAAGUCAGCUUUGAUUCAGUGAGUCCUUUCUGAGGGAACAUUAGUUGGCAACUUUCUUUCAUGCAUUUAUGGCCUAUACCUGAACAAUGUAUGCAAACUCUCCUGGACUCAGGUACUCACAUUCAGGAAGGAACAAUGAUGUUGACCAGUCUUCUCAUCUGUUGACAGUUGCUACCCGUGACUUAUUCAAUGAGCUUGAUAAAAGUGUCAAGCCUGUGGCGCCAAUGCAAUUUUGGAUGGUACAUUAUCUAACUAGACUGCUGCUAUAUUUUUUAAGAAUCUUUUUUAUUUCCAUCCUUAUAUGUUAUGAUGUCAUACGAUUUUGGGAUGACCUUUUUUCCUUUCUAUAUUGGAAUGUUACAAUAUCUAUCCACAAUAGUGCAUAUUUGAAGUGCUAGUAACACAUUGGUUUUGGAUAGAUAUCUUUAGAAUUCUGGUUCAAACUUCUGGUUUCAAUUCAGUUGAAAGCAAUUUGUUUAUGAUUUUAUAAUAGUACAUUUGAAAUUUCAUAAUAUGUAUUAGGUUGAUUAUUGUUGAAAUUCUGAUACAAAUAUUUGGAUACUUGUUAUUGUGGUACUUUUGUGAUGAAUUGAUUUCUAUUCAUUUGGUAUACAUUAGACCUCUUGAAAGAGUAAUAUUGCUGUUUUUUGUUUCAUUAUUGUAAGAUUUUAUAAUCAGUUACUCUUUGCUUCAUGGGAAAUAAAUUGUGGGAUAUUCUUGAAUUAUCCAAAGUAGUGCUUUUUCCAUUGAAUAGGCAUUGAAUGAGCCUUUCCUUUAAUGGUUGGGAGAAGACUCCGUUAAAUAUGAUUUCUGCGUACUGUCUAUCCUUCAGGAUGGAAGUCUUUCUGUAGGACCCGUCUUUUAUAGUUCCCCAUAUUUAUCACCUCUGCUUAUGUUUUGAAAUCAUUGUUUAUCAUUUUCCAUUUCUUGUGAUAUUUCAUGAGGAUAAGUUGCUCUCAUUGUGAAUUGAAACUCUUUCUUCAUAUAUUAUAUGUAUUUUAAUACCUGGUUAUUGUUUUAUUCAUGUUUCAUUAUGAUUGAUGGAAAGUGAUUUUGUUCUGAUUUGUUAAUGCAUUUCCAGUUAUUGAGGAAGAAGUACCCUCAAUUUGGCCAGCUGCAUAAUGGAGUGUUCAUGCAACAGGUUUAUAUGUAGAAUGUCACUUUGUUAAUUUAGUUUAGUUUAGUUUUUUUAAAAUAAAUGACUCAUGUUAUUUUCCAUGUCAAACAGGAUGCUGAAGAAUGUUGGACACAACUUCUAUAUACACUUUCUCAGUCUCUAAGAUCUAAUGGAUCUAGGUAAUUUUGCCCUUGCUUUUCAGUAACUAAAUGCAAUUGCUGCAAUUCUUGUAACCAUAUUUAUUUGUGACGAAGGUCAACUUGUAAAAAUUUAGAUUUUAUCUAGAAUCAGAAGUUGUAAAAUUGUAAAUUGUAGAAUUGUGACACAGAUGGAAAACAUGAAUAAUAAAUGAACAAAAUAUUACAUUUUUAUACAAGAUAUCAUAAAUAAUCACGUUUGACAUGAUUAAACUUGAAAUAAAAUGCACAAUUCUUCAUUAAUAAUUCCAUUGUCACAUAGCUUUCAACACAGGUAAUAAAACAGAAAUAUAUAAUUAUCCAACAAAUUAUCACUUAAAAAUAAGGAGUUAGGAGUGAUAAUAUAACUCUAUCUGCUUCUGACACUCAUUGUCUGUGUCCAUAGGUGAAAAAGCUACGCAGAUGACUGGAAUAUAUGAUUUGGUUGCCGUAUUGACCCACAAGGGUAGAAGUGCUGAUUCGGGGCAUUAUGUUGGUUGGGUCAAGCAAGAAAAUGGUGUGGAUCUUGGAUAACACAUUAUGUUCUUGAUUUUUUUUUUCCUCCAUGUCUUUUCAAAGUAACUUAAUAGUUAUUUUGUUGUUUGUAGGGAAGUGGAUAGAGUUUGAUGAUGACAACCCCAAACCCAGAAUAGAAGACGACAUCACUAGACUAUCUGGAGGAGGUGAGAAUAUGCAGAAUUAAUGUGUGGAUAUGGAUAAUAUGAAAAAAUUAUCUAUCAUCCCCUUUUACAAUUGAGCCUAUCAUACCAAGUAAAAAACGAAUUUGCAUGAGUUCCUCUUUCUUUUUCUUCCUUCACCGGCUUAGCUCAAUCAUUAUAGUUUAAUCCAUCCUUUUCUUCUCGUUAUUAUUUGUGGGUGAGAUAAUAGAUUAAUAAUAAAUUGUUAUAUGAUGUUUGUCUCUAGGUGAUUGGCACAUGGCUUACAUAAUCAUGUACAAGGCUCGUGUUGUAUCUGUUUAAUUGUUCGGAGAAAGAGUCCAUUUCCUGUCUUUUGUGAGAUUCAAGGAUUGGUGUAAAAGGAUGGUAUACGGUUGUUUAUAUUUAAGAUUCAAGGAUUGUGUAAAAGAAUGGUCUGUUCUUUGCUUGUAUUUUACCCAUGAGGUUGAUAUUAGUUAGUAUUUUUUACUUGUUGAAUUAGCCAUUGUAUUUUUAAUUUAUUUUUAAAAUGGAUAUAUAAGGAUUUGAACCGAAAUUUUGUUGGUGACUGUUCUCCUUAACUCCCGAGAGCUCUGAUAGAUCGAAGUUAUAUCUCUAGGACAAGCAUGUUUGCAUCUAUUUUUUUUUUUUUGGCCCUUCCAGUCAAGGUCACCAUUUCAUAUCAUAAACAAGGUGUAUAGAAUCAUCAACAUUAUAAUGUAUCAAAGUCGGUUGUCAGGCUUGGGUUUCACUUGGUUUGGUGUUUUGUUUGCCGCCGGCGGAAGCGGGGAAGAGGGAGAGUACAUUAAUGACAAACUUGAUUGCUAGCUACCACUCUUCUAUAUUGCAUCACUAUCUGAUACUAAUAGUGGCAGGUUAACAAGAAACAAAAUCAUACAUUUAGAAUUCUUUUCUUUUUUAUUCUUUUAAUAAAAUUAUAGGGAGUCGUUCAAAUUCACAAACUGUUUUUGUCUAAACUUGUAAGCCUAGAGCCUACAUUAUGUUCUUUUGUGUUCGUGCGUUAGGCAUUGGGCUGAUAUUUUUUGUUACUUUUUAUGAAAACCGGGGUGCACUAGGUUCGAAUCCUAGCCAUGACUAGGAAGUUGAUAUAUAGAAUCCAUGGCAAAAGGGAAGGGGUGUGUCUGUAAGGGUAUAACUUGACAAAAAAGAAAAACUAAGGGGAAUGUAAAUUACAGAAUAAGAUAAUUCAUAAUUGCCAAUGAUCAAUUUUCUAGUGAGAAAUUUGUCGUUUUUAGCAAAGUAUCUGGAUUCUUUUCCUUGUUUUUAGGUGCAUUAUUUGCUUGCUCAGCCCGGCUUCUCACUAUACCAUUGUUCAAACAUUCUUUACAAAACCAAAAUUUAGCGGAUAGUCAUGUUGAAGACUGAAAGGAAUCAAUAUAAUUCGACUUGAUCUUAGUUUCCCUAGGCAUUUCGGGUUGAACACUUGAACCUCACUCUCCAGUUCACUGAAGCAUAGCCUACUUUUGGCAUUUGGACAAGUUAAUAACUUAAAACUUAACACAAUGUUUGGUUGGAGGAAAAAUGAGUGAAAAAUGAUAUUUUCCUUUGUUUGGUUAUCAAAGAAAAUAGAAAGGAAAGAAAAUAGAAAAGAAAUUGCCAUAUUUUUUACAUUUUCAAUACUACCCUUAGUUAUAUUAUUAUUAACAAUUAUUAAUAUAAAUUUAGUUUUAAUAUAUUAUUAUAAUAGAAAUUUAUAUUUAAAUAUUAUAUGUAUUAGAUAAAUAAUUUAAAUCAAAUAUAUAAAAUUAUAAUAUUUUAUAAUAUUUAUAAAAUAUAAUAAAACAUGAAUAAAUAAAAAUAUUUAUACUUUAUUUUAUGAUAAGGGUAUUAAUGUAAUUUUAUACUAUUAUGAUUUUCUUUCUUCUCACUUUUCUUUCCAUCCAAACAAAAGAAAAUUUCUUUCUAUUUUCUUUCUAUCUAUUUUCUAUUUUUUCUUUUAUUUUUAAUUUUUUUUCCUAAAUCCAAACAAAGUGUAAGAGGUAGUCAAAUAUUGAUAAAAAAUAAUAAAUUUUAUUAGUAAUAUAACUUAGUUUAUUUUUUAUUGUUAAGUAUAAAAAUACUAUUUCAAGUUAUGAUUAAUUCCACUAUCUCCUCGCACUCCUUCCUUUUGCUGUUUUACAUGCUACACAACUUUCAAAUGGGAGAAAGUUGAUUAAACCUUAACCUGAAAUAUUUGAUGAGUCAUAUUUGACAUGACAAGGCACUGGCAGGGAAGAAAGAAAGAUAGUUGCUUGAAAAAUAUAUUCAAUAAUUCAUAGCAGAUGAAGAUCUUGAUGAGAUAGGUUUUUCACACUUUACCAAAUGUUAUGUCUCUACUGGGUGAAGUCUGGGUCUUGAUAAAUGUUAUGUCAAAAAAUUAUGAUGCACUUAUUUAUAAAGAAGAAAAAUACUUAUUGCAGAGAAGUUGAUAACCAUACUUGAAUUUAAAUUUGUUCAUAAAUUCUAAUUUCAUAUUUUUUUUAUCUAUUUUCUAAUUCAACAAAUGUAAUUAAAAAUAAAACAAUAAACUUAUAAUUAAUAUAACAUAAUAUUAUAAUUAAUUCAAAAUAUAUAUAUUUUUUUAGUCCCUCUAAAGUGCAUAUGGGGUAGGUGAAACUGGGUUCGCCUAGGAUUAGAUCAUCUCCGGUGAACAAAAAAUUGGAUGGUGUCAAUUGUGAUCUCUCAUCCUUCAUUGCUCUCUCUCAUAUUUAAUUUUGGUCCCACUCAUAAAGUUAAUGGUGAGAGAUCACACUGUAUUUCUUCAAGUGUUAAAAAAAAUUAGAGAGAAUCCGAACCCAACUCUAAAUAAUGAUGAAUCUAUUUUUAAAAUUCUUACCUGAUGCUAAAUCCUAAUACCACACUAAAUUAAACCCAAAAGAUUCAAAUCCAGGCCGGAUCUUCGGACCGGCCAGGUCAUCUGUACCCCUAAAUUCCACUAUCUCCUCCCACUCCUUCCUUUUACUGUUUUACAUGCUACACAACUUUCAAACGGGAAAAAGUUCUUUAAACCUUAACCUGAAAUAUUUGAUGACUCUUAUUUGAUAUGACAAGGCACAGGCAGGGAAGAAAGAAAGAUAGUUGCUUGAAAAAUAAAUUCAAUAAUUCAUAGCAGAUGAAGAUCUUGAUGAGAUAGGUUUUUCACACUUUACCAAAUUCUCAAUGCACAUCAACGAUCUCAGUCUCAGCAAUUCUUCAACACACUGGUAUGCAAUUUACACUCAAACAGCUUUUUCAUACACUUGCAUCCCACUACAACCUUUCAUUUCAAUAUAUCAAUGACACUUCUCUUCUAUUAUGAUGAAAGUUAUUAGCAUAGAAUUAUUGAAUGUAAUUGAAGAACAUUAUUUAAUCCUUAGUAAUUGUUUCUGUUAGGGGAGCUCAGAGAUUUUAUUAAGGAAAUGGACAAAAUUUCUGAUCUGCCAAAGAUAAUCCUGCAUGACAUUCUUUCAAGGUUGCCUUACGAAGAUGCUGCAAGGACCAGUGUUUUGUCCAAGGCUUGGCAUGAAACAUGGUCCUCAUUCCCCAUCUUGGUCUUCCACGGCUCUCGAUGCGUGCGCGUGCACGUGAAGGAUAGAAAAGAUCCCCUGAAGAUACAAGAAAACAGGAGGAAAGUGAACAGCUUCCUCAAAUCUGUGGACAGGACACUUGUUAGGUUCCACCACCACGGCUUUGCCAUCAAAGAAUUUAACCUGAGUAUGAUGUUCUUCCAUCCUCGGUUCAUGCCACAUCUCGUCGACCGGUGGAUGAAGAUAGUAGGUGAAAGUAGCAGUAUUCAGGUGCUAAAGCUUGAACUUGAACUUGCUGACUGUUACUUUGGAUGUGAGUUUGACUCACACGCCGUUGAUAAUUAUUACUACUUGCCACCAGAUAUACUGAAAGCCAAGUCAUUAACUGAAUUAGUGUUGUCAGGGAAGAUUAGAGCAGACAAAUUGAUUGUAAAUCACAGAAUUAGGUUCCCUAUGUUGCGGAUAUUGUCCUUAGUUGAUGUUUAUUUGGGACAUGAACAAGCUCUUGAAGAUCUCAUUUCUGGUUGUCCUAUGAUUGAGGAAUUAAUAUUGGAGCACUGUGUUGGAUUGGAAAAUGUAAAAGUACAUGAUUUGCCUAAGCUAAAGUCUGCUAAGUUAUCUGGAUUUCGUGAAAUUCAUGUUAAUGUGCCGAGUCUAGAGUGUCUUCAUCUUGGUAAUGACCAAUUAGAGUUCCCUUGUGAUAUCAGUAUAGACAAGUGCAGAAAUUUGAAGGUGUUUAUUUUAGAGGCUGUGAGUUCUGUUUUUGUCUCUAACCAAUGGUUGCGUGAACUUUUUGACAAGUUUCCUUUCCUUGAGACGUUGGAAUUAAGUGGUUGUGUUACAUCUGAGAGCCUAAUGAUCUCCAGUUCUAGGCUCAAGGUUUUGUCCUUCCAGGCUUGCUUUGAGUUGAAGGAAGCUAAGAUCGAUGCACCGAAUUUAGAGUCAUGUAGAUAUUCUGGACAAUCCAGCCACAUGCCAGCAGCUAUAUCUUUUGUGAAUUGUUCAAAUCAGGUGGAUUUUGAUGUUGUCUUCCCAAUAGAAUUUCGUAUGGAUUUGAAAAGGCUUAGGGCAUUUCUCCAAAACAUAGCACCA